This is a long non-coding RNA of Myotis myotis, 1685 nucleotides long. RefSeq lists it as uncharacterized. The record is from RefSeq and is a predicted model, not a curated record. NCBI's taxonomy places the organism in Eukaryota, Metazoa, Chordata, Mammalia, Chiroptera, Vespertilionidae. The transcript is spliced from 4 exons.
UCUUAUAUGCAGGAUGAUCGUAGGCGACCCCUGUGAAAGGGUCAUUCGACCGCCAAAGGGGUCACGACCCACAGGUUGAGAACCGCUGGGAUAGAGGGACAGCUGCCAAUGUCCAUGUGCUGAGUCCCUCUCUUACGCUACUCACAGAUGCCAUCUUUCCUGGGUCAAGCAUUCCCCUCCAUAUGGCAUCAGCCUCGGGGAAUGCGCUUGCCCCACCCUCUCGACUCCCAGUGGCCCUGCCCUGCCAAGCUCUUGCCCUAUGGAGGAGUCUGCUGGCUGCAACCAGCCUGGGCCUGCUUUGCAGUUUUUCUUGGAAGGCUCUCAAGGAGGUUCGGGCAGACUUGGGAGGUGAUAGAGACACACAGGAAGAGACUGAGUUGUGUGACUUUGGGGCGAGGGCCAUUUUCCCCUGCAUGCCCCGAGCAGUGCCACUGUUCCUGUACAAAGCCCUCUCUCCAUAGGGCCAAAUCUUAAUCUCUUUUAGCCUGAUGAACUCUGCUGGCACCAGCCAGAUGACUCCCUGAGACCCUGGCCCACUGCAAAAAUCCACAGGCCCCAGGCAGGUGGCAGCCGGCCUUGAUGAAUCCUGAGACUUUUGCCGAGUUUGAAUCUACAUCAACGCAGUGAACACCACUCACCCCUACCUGGUGACACUGAAACUGCCUCACAAAUCUCAGGCUCUGCUCUGCUUCCUGACUCAUUCUUUGGACACUACUGCCAGAAUCUUCUCCAGGUUAUGACUCAACGUUGACUCUUUUGGCCAUAAGGGACUGUGCUGAACCUCUGAAUCCACAAUGACCAAGAAAACUGACAAGGUUCCAGUCCUCCUGCAACUUACACUCUGGAAGAAAGGAGAUGAAAAGACAACAUCUCUGCUUGGUUGAUGGACUCAAGGAACAAGAAAGUUUCCCUUUACCUUCCUUAUCAGCGACGAAUGAUGCUCGUUCCACCUACCUCAUCCUUUUUUCAUACAGCAGAAGAAAAAAGAUGAAUUACUGUUUUUAUUUAGUUAUUUGCAUAACAGUUAAACAUGCAUAGUUUCAAGAAUAGAAUAGUUUUAUAUUAUUUAAUAGCAGUCCCCCAUUUCACCUCCUCCCAUUUCUCAUUCCUUAGAUAAAACCACUUCCAAUGCUUUAAUUAAUGACCCUCCCCUUUCUUACGUAUCACCAUCUCUCUAAAACUGCUACUUCCUAAAAUCUAUUGGCUUUCCACUGUGGAAAAUGGAGAUUUAGCUUCCACGCCUCCUAUACUACACACACACACACACACAUAUAUUUUCUGGCUUACAUACCUGUAUUAUCAUUAGAUUGAUACUCAGUGUUUUUAUUAUUUUGACCAAAUAAAUACUAUUCACAUCUGUGUGGUAUAAUAAAUUAUGAUCAAUUUCCCAAGUAACAUUUUGCUUUCUCUGGAGUUAAUAAUUGUGUCAUUUUUCAUUUGCCUAGAUUUUCCUCUGCAUGUGUCACUAAUUGAAUCCCUACCUACUCUCUCCUUCUGAUCUGUUCCUAUCUGGGCUGAUUAAUCUCUAGGCUUGCUGUUGAAGGGAACCAACGUUUUGCCAUUCUAAAGCUGCCUUUGGGACAUUCAUUUUAAGCUGUUUAUUAAGAAACGAGACUCACCUAUCCGGUGUUGCUCAGUGGUUGAGCAUGGAUCUCUGAACUGGGGAAAUCAGGGUUCAAUUCUUG